RNAcentral lists this transfer RNA (70 nucleotides) under Marmota monax (woodchuck). RNAcentral describes it as "tRNA.Val". The record is from RNAcentral. Lineage: Eukaryota; Metazoa; Chordata; Mammalia; Rodentia; Sciuridae.
GGGCUGGGGCUCAGUGGUAGAGCGCUAGCCUCACACAUGUGAGGCCCUGAGUUCGAUCCUCAGCACCACA